GCGUGCGUCCUAUUAGCUAGUUGGUGAGGCAAUGGCUCACCAAGGCUACGAUGGGUAGGGGUUCUUAGUGGAAGAUCCCCCACACUGGCACUGAGAUACGGGCCAGACUCCUACGGGAGGCAGCAGUAGGGAAUAUUGGUCAAUGGGCGAAAGCCUGAACCAGCCAUGCCGCGUGCAGGAUGACAGCUCUCUGAGUUGUAAACUGCUUUUGUACAGGAGCAAAACAAUCCCUGCGGGGGUUCUUGAGAGUACUGUAAGAAUAAGCACCGGCUAAUUCCGUGCCAGCAGCCGCGGUAAUACGGAAGGUGCAAGCGUUAUCCGGUUUUAUUGGGUUUAAAGGGUGCGUAGGCGGCUUAUUAAGUCAGUUGUGAAAUCCUAGUGCUUAACGCUAGAACUGCAAUUGAUACUAUUAGGCUUGAGUUAA
This 424-nucleotide ribosomal RNA is filed under the name Cardinium endosymbiont of Bemisia tabaci. RNAcentral's name for it is "bacterial SSU rRNA". It matches the Rfam family "Bacterial small subunit ribosomal RNA", at positions 229 to 650 of the family's 1533-position model. The record is from RNAcentral. Lineage: Bacteria; Pseudomonadati; Bacteroidota; Cytophagia; Cytophagales; Amoebophilaceae.